RNAcentral lists this long non-coding RNA (1419 nucleotides) under Pan troglodytes (chimpanzee). RNAcentral's name for it is "long non-coding RNA NONPTRT005823". The record is from RNAcentral. Lineage: Eukaryota; Metazoa; Chordata; Mammalia; Primates; Hominidae.
GGAAUGGCCUGGGCUCUCCAGAUUGAAACUUCUCACUCUUCACUUUCAGACCUUGAGCCGCAGUAAAGCAGUUAUCGAGUGGCAUUUAGAGUGGUCCAUACAGGAGCAGGCACUGCUGAAUGCACACACUACAUGGGUGAGGUUUUGCAGUGGGAGGGAUGUGGAAGGAAGAUGAGUCAGGUGGCCAGGAGCAGCUGAGGACCAGUGACAGCCCUUCCUAACUUCUGUGCCCAUUCUUGCAGUUGAAGGAGUCGCUUAAACAAAUCCGGCUAGAGAGAGAUGAAUAUGCUCAACAUAUAAAAGAAGAGAGGGCCCAGUGGCAGCAGAGGAUGAGGAAAAUGUCGCAGGAGGUGAGAUCUGGCCCUUCAACCCCCCCACCUUAGAUAAGUCACUGGAUCUUUCUGGGCAUCUGUAAAAUGGGAAUAGUACAGCCAGAGGUGGUCCUGGGUCUGGGCUUUGUGGAGGUGGGGGCAGAGAGGGAGAUGGCAGCCUGUCCAGCCACCAGCCCCUCUCUCCAGGGCUCUUUCCCCCUGUGGUUUGGGCAGGUUCACACAUUGAAGAAGGAGAAGUAUGAAACACAUCGGGGAGAGAAGCUGGAGAGGAGCUUGUCCAAACUCAAAAACCAGAUGGGUAAGACGGGGCUGGCAUGACCUGGGAGCAGGACUGGCAUCAGAGGGCUGUGGGAGUGGCUUAGAAUGCCCCAGGGAGGUGGGUCGAUGGAAGGGCUUUGAGGCAGAAGGAAAGAGGUCUGUGCCAGAGACAGCAAGUCUUGUCAUCUCCAUGAUCCUCAGUGUCCCCAUCAGCAAAGAGGGCCCAUUGUCAGCCACCCACAGUGCUCUCUAUCUGAAAGUGGCUUGGAAGAUUGGCUACCAUCUGGGUGUGAGGAAUCAGUAGCAGAGAGGCCAAGUUCGGGGAGCCUGAGAGGAGCUGUGCACCAAGAGGAGGGUUUUUCUUUUGUUUGUUUUUUUGAGAAUCCAGAGGCCUUUAUUGUCUGCUUCCUUUCUCAGCUGAACCCCUGCUCCCGGAGCCUCCAGCAGUGCCCUCUGAGGUGGAGCUGCAGCACCUGAGGAAGGAGGUUGAGAGUGGCAGCAGAACUCCAAGCCCAGGUGGACAACAAUAAGCGCAUGAGUGUCCUGAUAUUGGGGCAAAAGAAGAGGCUUCAGGAGCAGGAUGAGAGGCUUCGGGAGCAGGACGCGAGGCUUUGGGAGCAGGACGCGAGGCUUCAGGAGCAGGAUGAGAGGCUUCGGGAGCAGGACGCGAGGCCUCAGCAGCUGGCCGAGCCACAGAGUAGCUUCGAGGAGCUGAACAAGAACAAAAGUGCACUGCAGUUGGAGCGGCAAGUAGAGGAGCUGCAGGAGAAGCUUGGCGAGGUGAAGGAGACAGUAACCUCUGCCCCAUCCAAGAAGGGCUGGGAGGCGG